CGGGUGCCGCAUCUAUACAUGCAAGUCGAGCGAAUGGAUUAGGAGCUUGCUCUUUUGACGUUAGCGGCGGACGGGUGAGUAACACGUGGGCAACCUGCCUUAAAGAUUGGGAUAACUCCGGGAAACCGGGGCUAAUACCGAAUAAUCUUUUUAACUUCAUGGUUAAAUAUUGAAAGACGGUUUCGGCUGUCACUUUUGGAUGGGCCCGCGUCGCAUUAGCUAGUUGGUGAGGUAACGGCUCACCAAGGCAACGAUGCGUAGCCGACCUGAGAGGGUGAUCGGCCACACUGGGACUGAAACACGGCCCAAACUCCUACGGGAGGCAGCAGUAGGGAAUCUUCCACAAUGGACGAAAGCCUGAUGGAGCAACGCCGCGUGAGUGAAGAAGGUUUUCGGAUCGUAAAACUCUGUUGUAAGGGAAAAACAAGUGCUAUUUUAAUUGGCUGUCCCUUGGCGGUACCUUAUUAAAAAGCCCCGGCUAACUACCUGCCCCCCCCCCCGGUAAUACCUAGGGGGCAAGCGUUUUCCGGAAUUAUUGGGCGUAAAGCCCGCCCAGGGGGUCUUCUAAGUCCGAUGGGAAAGCCCACGGCUCAACCGUGGAAGGUCAUUGGAAACUGGGGAACUUGAAUGCAAAAAAAGAAAGUGGAAUUCCAAUGGUUACGGUGAAAUGGCUAAAAAUUUGGAAGAACCCCAAUGGGCGAAGGGGACUUUCUGGUCCGUUACUGGACGCUGAAGCGCGAAAGCGUGGGGGAAACAAACAAGAUUAAAAUACCCCUGGUUAGUCCACGCGUAAACGAUUGAGUGCUUAAGUGGUAGGAGGUUUCCGCCCUUAGUGCUGCAGCUAACGCAAUUAGCAACUCCGCUGGGGAGUACGGUCGCAAGACUGAACUCAAAGGAUUGACGCGUUCGCAAGGCGUGACAUGUGUUAAUCGAGCACCGCG
RNAcentral lists this ribosomal RNA (941 nucleotides) under Lysinibacillus sp. RNAcentral describes it as "bacterial SSU rRNA". It matches the Rfam family "Bacterial small subunit ribosomal RNA", at positions 36 to 963 of the family's 1533-position model. Lineage: Bacteria; Bacillati; Bacillota; Bacilli; Caryophanales; Bacillaceae. The record is from RNAcentral.